Molecule: ribosomal RNA, 497 nt
Filed under: uncultured bacterium
Lineage: Bacteria
Description: partial 16S ribosomal RNA
Rfam family: Bacterial small subunit ribosomal RNA
Source: RNAcentral
GAUGAACGCUGGCGGCGUGCCUAAUACAUGCAAGUCGAGCGAACAGACGAGGAGCUUGCUCCUCUGACGUUAGCGGCGGACGGGUGAGUAACACGUGGAUAACCUACCUAUAAGACUGGGAUAACUUCGGGAAACCGGAGCUAAUACCGGAUAAUAUAUUGAACCGCAUGGUUCAAUAGUGAAAGACGGUUUUGCUGUCACUUAUAGAUGGAUCCGCGCCGCAUUAGCUAGUUGGUAAGGUAACGGCUUACCAAGGCAACGAUGCGUAGCCGACCUGAGAGGGUGAUCGGCCACACUGGAACUGAGACACGGUCCAGACUCCUACGGGAGGCAGCAGUAGGGAAUCUUCCGCAAUGGGCGAAAGCCUGACGGGGCAAUGCCGCGUGAGUGAUGAAGGUCUUCGGAUCGUAAAACUCUGUUAUUAGGGAAGAACAAAUGUGUAAGUAACUAUGCACGUCUUGACGGUACCUAAUCAGAAAGCCACGGCUAACUACGUG